GAUGAACGCUGGCGGCGUGCCUAAUACAUGCAAGUCGAGCGAACAGACGAGGAGAUUGCUCCUCUGACGUUAGCGGCGGACGGGUGAGUAACACGUGGAUAACCUACCUAUAUGACUGGGAUAACUUCGGGAAACCGGAGCUAAUACCGGAUAAUAUAUUGAACCGCAUGGUUCAAUAGUGAAAGACGGCUUUGCUGUUACUUAUAGAUGGAUCCGCGCCGCAUUAGCUAGUUGGUAAGGUAACGGCUUACCAAGGCAACGAUGCGUAGCCGACCUGAGAGGGUGAUCGGCCACACUGGAACUGAGACACGGUCCAGACUCCUACGGGAGGCAGCAGUAGGGAAUCUUCCGCAAUGGGCGAAAGCCUGACGGAGCAACGCCGCGUGAGUGAUGAAGGUCUUCGGAUCGUAAAGCUCUGUUAUUGGGGAAGAACAAAUGUGUAAGUAACUAUGCACGUCUUGACGGUACCUAAUCAGAAAGCAACGGCUAACUACGUG
Molecule: ribosomal RNA, 497 nt
Filed under: uncultured bacterium
Lineage: Bacteria
Description: partial 16S ribosomal RNA
Rfam family: Bacterial small subunit ribosomal RNA
Source: RNAcentral